Molecule: ribosomal RNA, 404 nt
Filed under: Actinomycetes bacterium
Lineage: Bacteria; Bacillati; Actinomycetota; Actinomycetes
Description: Actinobacteria bacterium partial 16S ribosomal RNA
Rfam family: Bacterial small subunit ribosomal RNA
Source: RNAcentral
UGGGGAAUAUUGGACAAUGGGCGCAAGCCUGAUCCAGCCAUGCCGCGUGAGUGAUGAAGGCGCUAGGGUUGUAAAGCUCUUUCACCGGUGGAGAUAAUGACGGUAACCGGAGAAGAAGCCCCGGCUAACUUCGUGCCAGCAGCCGCGGUAAUACGAAGGGGGCUAGCGUUGUUCGGAUUUACUGGGCGUAAAGCGCACGUAGGCGGACUAUUAAGUCAGGGGUGAAAUCCCGGGGCUCAACCCCGGAACUGCCUUUGAUACUGGUAGUCUUGAGUUCGAGAGAGGUGAGUGGAAUUCCGAGUGUAGAGGUGAAAUUCGUAGAUAUUCGGAGGAACACCAGUGGCGAAGGCGGCUCACUGGCUCGAUACUGACGCUGAGGUGCGAAAGCGUGGGGAGCAAACAGG